RNAcentral lists this ribosomal RNA (487 nucleotides) under uncultured bacterium. Its description in RNAcentral is "bacterial SSU rRNA". It matches the Rfam family "Bacterial small subunit ribosomal RNA", at positions 501 to 987 of the family's 1533-position model. The record is from RNAcentral.
CUACGUGCCAGCAGCCGCGGUAAUACGUAGGUGGCAAGCGUUGUCCGGAAUUAUUGGGCGUAAAGCGCGCGCAGGCGGUUUCUUAAGUCCAUCUUAAAAGCGUGGGGCUCAACCCCAUGAGGGGAUGGAAACUGGGAAGCUGGAGUAUCGGAGAGGAAAGUGGAAUUCCUAGUGUAGCGGUGAAAUGCGUAGAGAUUAGGAAGAACACCGGUGGCGAAGGCGACUUUCUAGACGAAAACUGACGCUGAGGCGCGAAAGCCAGGGGAGCGAACGGGAUUAGAUACCCCGGUAGUCCUGGCCGUAAACGAUGGGUACUAGGUGUAGGAGGUAUCGACCCCUUCUGUGCCGGAGUUAACGCAAUAAGUACCCCGCCUGGGGAGUACGACCGCAAGGUUGAAACUCAAAGGAAUUGACGGGGGCCCGCACAAGCGGUGGAGUAUGUGGUUUAAUUCGACGCAACGCGAAGAACCUUACCAGGUCUUGACAU